AGGACGAACGCUGGCGGCGUGCUUAACACAUGCAAGUCGAGCGGAAAGGCCCUUCGGGGUACUCGAGCGGCGAACGGGUGAGUAACACGUGAGCAACCUGCCCUUAGCUCCGGGAUAGCUCCGGGAAACCGGAAUUAAUACCGGAUACGACCACGGCCGACAUCUGCUGUGGUGGAAAGGAUUCCGGCUAAGGAUGGGCUCGCGGCCUAUCAGCUAGUUGGUGGAGUAACGGCCCACCAAGGCGACGACGGGUAGCCGGCCUGAGAGGGCGACCGGCCACACUGGGACUGAGACACGGCCCAGACUCCUACGGGAGGCAGCAGUGGGGAAUAUUGCGCAAUGGGCGGAAGCCUGACGCAGCGACGCCGCGUGCGGGAUGAAGGCCUUCGGGUUGUAAACCGCUUUCACCAGGGACGAAGCGAGAGUGACGGUACCUGGGGAAGAAGCGCCGGCUAACUACGUGCCAGCAGCCGC
This 474-nucleotide ribosomal RNA is filed under the name uncultured bacterium. RNAcentral's name for it is "SSU rRNA". It matches the Rfam family "Bacterial small subunit ribosomal RNA", at positions 26 to 518 of the family's 1533-position model. The record is from RNAcentral.